UUAUCAGAGAGUUUGAUCCUGGCUCAGGAUGAACGCUGGCGGCGUGCUUAACACAUGCAAGUCGAGCGAAGCACUUAUCGUGGAAUCUUCGGAGGAAAUGAUAUUUGACUGAGCGGCGGACGGGUGAGUAACGCGUGGGUAACCUGCCUCAUACAGGGGAAUAACAGUUAGAAAUGGCUGCUAAUGCCGCAUAAGCGCACAGGGUCGCAUGGCCUGGUGUGAAAAACUGAGGUGGUAUGAGAUGGACCCGCGUCUGAUUAGGUAGUUGGCGGGGUAACGGCCCACCAAGCCGACGAUCAGUAGCCGACCUGAGAGGGUGACCGGCCACAUUGGGACUGAGACACGGCCCA
Molecule: ribosomal RNA, 350 nt
Filed under: Candidatus Blautia stercoravium
Lineage: Bacteria; Bacillati; Bacillota; Clostridia; Lachnospirales; Lachnospiraceae
Description: bacterial SSU rRNA
Rfam family: Bacterial small subunit ribosomal RNA
Source: RNAcentral